Molecule: transfer RNA, 69 nt
Filed under: Ovis aries (sheep)
Lineage: Eukaryota; Metazoa; Chordata; Mammalia; Artiodactyla; Bovidae
Rfam family: tRNA
About the family: Transfer RNA (tRNA) molecules are approximately 80 nucleotides in length. Their secondary structure includes four short double-helical elements and three loops (D, anti-codon, and T loops).
Source: Rfam by way of RNAcentral
CCUGGUAGCUCAGUCAGUAAAGAAUCUGCCUGCAAUGCAGGAGACCUGGGUUCGAUCCCUGGACCAGGA